Molecule: ribosomal RNA, 1015 nt
Filed under: uncultured bacterium
Lineage: Bacteria
Description: bacterial SSU rRNA
Rfam family: Bacterial small subunit ribosomal RNA
Source: RNAcentral
AGGAAUAUUGGUCAAUGGACGAGAGUCUGAACCAGCCAAGUAGCGUGAAGGAUGACUGCCCUAUGGGUUGUAAACUUCUUUUAUACGGGAAUAAAGUUAGCCACGUGUGGCUUUUUGUAUGUACCGUAUGAAUAAGGAUCGGCUAACUCCGUGCCAGCAGCCGCGGUAAUACGGAGGAUCCGAGCGUUAUCCGGAUUUAUUGGGUUUAAAGGGAGCGUAGGCGGGUUGUUAAGUCAGUUGUGAAAGUUUGCGGCUCAACCGUAAAAUUGCAGUUGAUACUGGCGACCUUGAGUGCAACAGAGGUAGGCGGAAUUCGUGGUGUAGCGGUGAAAUGCUUAGAUAUCACGAAGAACUCCGAUUGCGAAGGCAGCUUACUGGAUUGUAACUGACGCUGAUGCUCGAAAGUGUGGGUAUCAAACAGGAUUAGAUACCCUGGUAGUCCACACAGUAAACGAUGAAUACUCGCUGUUGGCGAUAUACGGUCAGCGGCCAAGCGAAAGCAUUAAGUAUUCCACCUGGGGAGUACACCGGCAACGGUGAAACUCAAAGGAAUUGACGGGGGCCCGCACAAGCGGAGGAACAUGUGGUUUAAUUCGAUGAUACGCGAGGAACCUUACCCGGGCUUAAAUUGCAACUGACUGAACCGGAAACGGUUCUUUCUUCGGACAGUUGUGAAGGUGCUGCAUGGUUGUCGUCAGCUCGUGCCGUGAGGUGUCGGCUUAAGUGCCAUAACGAGCGCAACCCUUAUCGAUAGUUACUAGCAGGUCAUGCUGAGGACUCUAUUGAGACUGCCGUCGUAAGAUGUGAGGAAGGUGGGGAUGACGUCAAAUCAGCACGGCCCUUACGUCCGGGGCUACACACGUGUUACAAUGGGGGGUACAGAAGGCAGCUACACGGCGACGUGGUGCUAAUCCCGAAAGCCUCUCUCAGUUCGGAUUGGAGUCUGCAACCCGACUCCAUGAAGCUGGAUUCGCUAGUAAUCGCGAAUCAGAAUGUCGCGGUGAAUACGUUCCCG